This 460-nucleotide ribosomal RNA is filed under the name uncultured bacterium. Its description in RNAcentral is "partial 16S ribosomal RNA". It matches the Rfam family "Bacterial small subunit ribosomal RNA", at positions 338 to 795 of the family's 1533-position model. The record is from RNAcentral.
CCUACGGGAGGCAGCAGUGAGGAAUAUUGGUCAAUGGACGAGAGUCUGAACCAGCCAAGUAGCGUGAAGGAUGACUGCCCUAUGGGUUGUAAACUUCUUUUAUAAAGGAAUAAAACGAGGCACGUGUGCCUUUUUGCAUGUACUUUAUGAAUAAGGAUCGGCUAACUCCGUGCCAGCAGCCGCGGUAAUACGGAGGAUCCGAGCGUUAUCCGGAUUGAUUGGGUUUAAAGGGAGCGUAGAUGGGUUGUUAAGUAAGUUGUGAAAGUUUGCGGCUCAACCGUAAAAUUGCAAUUGAUACUGGCAGUCUUGAGUACAGUUGAGGUAGGCGGAAUUCGUGGUGUAGCGGUGAAAUGCUUAGAUAUCACGAAGAACUCCGAUUGCGAAGGCAGCUUACUAGACUGUGACUGACACUGAGGCUCGAAAGUGUGGGUAUCAAACAGGAUUAGAUACCCUAGUAGUC